This 1972-nucleotide ribosomal RNA is filed under the name human gut metagenome. Its description in RNAcentral is "bacterial LSU rRNA". It matches the Rfam family "Bacterial large subunit ribosomal RNA", at positions 3 to 1985 of the family's 2925-position model. The record is from RNAcentral.
UCAAGUAAGUAAGGGCGUACGGCGGAUGCCUUGGCUAUAUCAGCCGAAGAAGGACGCGAUAAGCUGCGAUAAGCUGCGGUGAGGUGCAAGUAACCGUUGACCCGCAGAUGUCCGAAUGGGGAAACCCGGCGUGAGGAGUCACGUCAUCCUCUCAGGAGGAAGGGCACCCGGUGAACUGAAACAUCUAAGUAGCCGGAGGAAAAGGAAUCAAGAGAGAUACCCUGAGUAGCGGCGAGCGAAAGGGGCAGAGCCCAAACCGGGAUGGGAAACCAAUCCGGGGUUGCGGACUGCGAUAAACUGCAGGAGCGAAGCAGAAUGAGCUGGGAAGCUCAGCCAGAGAGAGUGAGAGCCUCGUAAGCGCAAGCAGAUGCAGGGAGCAGGAUCCAGAGUACCACGAGACACGAGGAACCUUGUGGGAAGCAGGGGGGACCACCCUCCAAGGCGAAACACUGAUAUAGACCGAUAGCGCAUAGUACCGUGAGGGAAAGGUGAAAAGAACCCCGGGAGGGGAGUGAAAGAGAACCUGAAACCGUAUGUCUACAAGCAGUCGGAGCACUUUAUAGGUGCGACGGCGUGCCUAUUGAAGAAUGAACCGGCGAGUUGCUUCAUCCAGCGAGGUUAAGCAGGAAAUGCGGAGCCGCAGCGAAAGCGAGUCUGAAGAGGGCGAGAAGUUGGAGGGAGCAGACCCGAAACCACAGUGAUCUACCCAUGUCCAGGUUGAAGCACAGGUAAAAAUGUGUGGAGGACCGAACCAGUGAGCGUUGAAAAGCUUUUGGAUGAGAUGUGGGUAGGGGUGAAAUGCCAAUCGAACGUGGAGAUAGCUGGUUCUCCCCGAAAUAGCUUUAGGGCUAGCCUCAUGGAGAGAGUACAGGCGGUAGAGCACUGAACAGGGUAGGGGCCUAUCCGGCUACUGAACCUAAUCAAACUGCGAAUGGCUGUACUUAUACAUGGGAGUCAGACUGCGAGUAAUAAGACCCGUAGUCAAGAGGGAAACAGCCCAGACCAACAGCUAAGGUCCCCAAUGCCGUACUAAGUGGCGAAGGAUGUGGAAUUUCGAAAACAACCAGGAUGUUGGCUCAGAAGCAGCCACCAUUAAAAGAGUGCGUAAUAGCUCACUGGUCGAGAGACUCUGCGCCGAAGAUGACCGGGGCUGAAGUACGGAACCGAAGCUUUGGCAUGUACGAGAGUACAUGGGUAGGGGAGCGUUCCUGCAUGGGAGAAGCGGUACCGGAAGGAGCCGUGGACAGGCAGGAAGAGAGAAUGCCGGUAUGAGUAGCGAAAAGAAAGGUGAGAAUCCUUUCCACCGAAAGCCUAAGGGUUCCUGGGCAACGCUCGUCGUCCCAGGGUAAGUCGGGGCCUAAUCCGAGGCGGAGACGCGUAGGAGAUGGACAACAGGUUGAGAUUCCUGUACUGCAGACGCUCGAUUGAGCGAAGGAGUGACGCAAGAAGGAAAGCGCGCGUGCGAUUGGAAGAGCACGUCCAAGCAGGUAGGUCGGGAGACAGGCAAAUCCGUCUCCCAAAAGGCCGAGAUGUGAUGGGGAGCUUCUGGAGACAGAAGCGAAGGGGCCGGGACUAUAUUGCCAAGAAAAGCUUCUAGUGAGAACGGAUGCACCCGUACCGAAACCGACACAGGUAGGCAGGAAGAGAAUUCUAAGGUGCGCGGGAUAACCCUCGUUAAGGAACUCGGCAAAAUAUAUCCGUAACUUCGGGAAAAGGAUAGCCUGUAGUCAGUGAAGUGCAGAAGCGCACGGAGCUAAGGCAGGCGGCAGAAGAGAGGCCCAAGCGACUGUUUACCACAAACACAGGCGUCUGCUAAAGGGAAACCUGAUGUAUAGAUGCUGACACCUGCCCGGUGCUGGAAGGUUAAGAGGACUUGUUAGCGCAAGCGAAGCAGAGAAUUGAAGCCCCAGUAAACGGCGGCCGUAACUAUAACGGUCCUAAGGUAGCGAAAUUCCUUGUCGGGUAAGUUCCG